This 57-nucleotide small RNA is filed under the name secondary endosymbiont of Trabutina mannipara. RNAcentral's name for it is "Alpha operon ribosome binding site". It matches the Rfam family "Alpha operon ribosome binding site", at positions 53 to 110 of the family's 110-position model. Rfam says of the family: The bacterial alpha operon ribosome binding site is surrounded by this complex pseudoknotted structure. Translation of the mRNA produces 4 ribosomal protein products, one of which (S4) acts as a translational repressor by binding to the nested pseudoknot region. The mechanism of repression is thought to involve a conformational switch in the pseudoknot region and ribosome entrapment. Lineage: Bacteria; Pseudomonadati; Pseudomonadota; Gammaproteobacteria; Enterobacterales; Enterobacteriaceae. The record is from RNAcentral.
AAAUAUAUUAACUUAGGAGUGCACAUGGUACGUAUAGCAGGCAUUAACAUUCCUGAU